AGAGUUUGAUCAUGGCUCAGGACGAACGCUGGCGGCGUGCCUAACACAUGCAAGUCGAGCGAUGAAGUUUCCUUCGGGAAAUGGAUUAGCGGCGGACGGGUGAGUAACACGUGGGUAACCUGCCUCAUAGAGGGGAAUAGCCUCCCGAAAGGGAGAUUAAUACCGCAUAAUAUUACAGUUUCGCAUGAAACAGUAAUUAAAGGAGUAAUCCGCUAUGAGAUGGACCCGCGGCGCAUUAGCUAGUUGGUGAGGUAACGGCUCACCAAGGCGACGAUGCGUAGCCGACCUGAGAGGGUGAUCGGCCACAUUGGGACUGAGACACGGCCCAGACUCCUACGGGAGGCAGCAGUGGGGAAUAUUGCACAAUGGGGGAAACCCUGAUGCAGCAACGCCGCGUGAGUGAUGACGGUCUUCGGAUUGUAAAGCUCUGUCUUUGGGGACGAUAAUGACGGUACCCAAGGAGGAAGCCACGGCUAACUACGUGCCAGCAGCCGCGGUAAUACGUAGGUGGCGAGCGUUGUCCGGAUUUACUGGGCGUAAAGGGAGCGUAGGCGGAUUCUUAAGUGGGAUGUGAAAUACCCGGGCUUAACCUGGGUGCUGCAUUCCAAACUGGGAAUCUAGAGUGCAGGAGGGGAGAGUGGAAUUCCUAGUGUAGCGGUGAAAUGCGUAGAGAUUAGGAAGAACACCAGUGGCGAAGGCGACUCUCUGGACUGUAACUGACGCUGAGGCUCGAAAGCGUGGGGAGCAAACAGGAUUAGAUACCCUGAUAGUCCACGCCGUAAACGAUGAAUACUAGGUGUAGGGGUUUCAACACCUCUGUGCCGCGCUAACGCAUUAAGUAUUCCGCCUGGGGAGUACGGUCGCAGAUUAAAACUCAAAGGAAUUGACGG
This 890-nucleotide ribosomal RNA is filed under the name uncultured bacterium. Its description in RNAcentral is "bacterial SSU rRNA". It matches the Rfam family "Bacterial small subunit ribosomal RNA", at positions 8 to 916 of the family's 1533-position model. The record is from RNAcentral.